This 2045-nucleotide long non-coding RNA is filed under the name Felis catus (domestic cat). Its description in RNAcentral is "lncRNA (ENSFCAG00000048194.1)". The record is from RNAcentral. Lineage: Eukaryota; Metazoa; Chordata; Mammalia; Carnivora; Felidae.
UCUUCCCGUGUCUGAGACAGACAGACAGACUGUAGACAGACAGAUGGAAAAGGACAAAUGGGGCCUGGUAGCCCUUGCCAGGUGUCCGUCAUUCCUCCUCUCUCAACAUUGAUGGUGAUGCUGGUCUAGCCCCAGGGAGAGGGUCGUAGGUGGAGGGAAGCCUCCUUGGACAGCAGUAAGGAGCUACAGUUUCCCCUUAGGGGCCUAAUUUCCCCCAGAACUCCACUCCCAGUCCCCAAGACCCGCAUUUCCAGACUAGGGCCAGGGAACGGGCCUCUCAUCCAGGUCCCUCCUCCCUGCCUGGCCAGGGGCGGAGACUCAAGGCGCCAGGCUGGCCUGCAGGUGCGGGGCUUGGGAGGGGGGGUGCUCAGCAGCUGGCGUUCGAGGGGCCCCCUUACCCCUCCCCCUUCCUGUUCCUAGCCAGAGCCUGCUUCCUGUCAUCCCUGUCAGCACCCCAGGCGGGGGAGGGGACAGGUAGUGGAGGAAGCGGAAAGAGGGACUGAGCAGUGGGAGUGCGGGUGGCGGUGGGAUGGGAAAAGCGUGGAGGAGAAAUGUGGAAGGGAGGAGGAGAGCAGAAAACACAAGCAGGACAGAAGGAUAGACAGAGGGUGCAGCCCAAAGGGAUGGGAGACACAGGGAAGAUUUCAGAACGGGGAGGGGGGGAGCUGCAGCCCUCCCAUCAUCCCCCUGUGAAAGCCAGAGCUAGAGAGAGGGCAGAGACAACCGGAGAGAAACCAGAGGAAAUGGACAGAGGCAGAGACACAGAGGCAACGUGACAUAACAAGAGAUGCACAAUUCAGAGAGAUGGAGAGAUUCCAAGGUGCCAGGUCAAAGGUCAGGGUAUCGAGAGGUGGAAGGCACAGUGUCUGUGGAGCUGGAGAAACAGACAGCUGUGGCAGCUGACCGACCCCCUGCCCACCUGCUGGUUGUGACUCAGCCUUGGAACCUCUGGACGCAGAGGGUACCCAGGGUCUAUGUGAGAGUCAGGGGACCUGGGAGUGGAGGCACCAGUGGGGGGGGAGGGGGCCUCAUACCCAGGUGCUAAUCCCCAUCCGGCCAAGGCAGAACCAGAGCCUCACUGACCUUCUUAGAGAUUAGUCCCCAUGGCGACCUUGGCAACUCGCCCCCUCACUCUGGCUAGGUGUGGGGGGUGGUGUGCAGAGGCCGGGUGGGGCGGGGAGAGAGCCUUCCUGAGGCAUCACAGGAUCACAGCAGUCAGGGUUGGGAGGGCCCUUCCAGGGUCAGCAGUUAGUACAAAACUGGAGCCUCAAGAGAGGGAAUGACCUGCCCAAGGGCACCUAUAGAGCCAGAAAAGCCUCAGACCCGAAGUCAGGUCCCCAGUUCCACUCUCAAGUGUUCUUUCCCGAAGAGCAGAGGCCUGAACAAGAACAAAGGACAUUAAGAUACACCCCCUCAGACCCUCCCCACUCAUGAUCUCCUAAACUGAGAUCAAGGGCAGAGCAACUUGAAUGGGGUGAAGCAGGAAGCCUCUCCCUCCUGAGUACUAGGCUGGCUUCCACAAGGCCAAUGUGGAAAAGGGGAUGCAGAUCCCAGAGCUCUGCCUGCUGCCCUGACUCCUCCCUCCAGCCCAGCCCAGCCCAGCCUGCGGGUGUGGGGGGCGGGGGAAACCAUGCCGCAAAGCCAGUUAUAACCACAACCACAAUGACAGAGCAGCUAACAUUUAUUGGGUGCGUAUGGCACGCCAGUUCUGUGCUUUACAUGCACCUAAAUCUUCACCACAUUUUUUAAGACUAUUGUCCCCAUUUUACAGAGGGAAAAACUGAGAAGUAGAGUGCAGCUUAUACGCAGGGGAGCUUGGAUUUGAACCCAGGCUUUAGCGCAAGACUCCAGAGCACUCUUAACCCUUCAGUGUCUGUAUGAUCAGGGGCGGGUGACUGAGACACCUUCUCUCCUCCUCUCCGUGGCCGUGGAAUGGGAUAUGUGCAUGUGUAAGCGAAGGGCAUACUUGUGUGUGACUCCAACACCCAGCACAGAGUGGCACACAGCACAUUGUAUUAAACGUUUGAGGAAUAAGCGAGUGAACA